CGACGCUAUUUAAACAAUGACUUUAAAUGAGACACAGAUAUAAAAUAAAUCUUUUAAAUAUAUAAUCGCACCCAAUAUUUAAUGUUUUUGUUUUCAUUUUUUUAUUUUUUUUUUAUUUCCAGUACCAAUACUUUGUAAAAUAGAAAUGAAAUAUACAAUACUGAAUUCGACAAAAGCCAAUUCUCCCAUUGUAAGCGGCAGCCAUUUUGUGCAAUCGUGGAUUUCCUGUGCAAGUCCGCUAGAAGUUACUUUAAACCUUUCAACGCUCAAGGGUUGUGCACGAGCCUCUGACAAAAGCAAGUAAAAUAGCGCAAGAGAUUUGAAGGAUGUGUUAAGAGUCCAGUAAGCAGUAUACAUGUAUAUACACAUACGCACAUAGCCCUCAACAAACCAUUAUAAAGGGCUCGUGGUACAGGUUCGAGAGUAACACACAGGGUUGGAAUUAAUGCAGCGCAUGUAUGUAAGGUCACAGGUUGAUAUGGAAUUAGUAAAUCUCAAGCACUUAUAGAAAUGAAAUAAAUAUCUAGUGAGCUUUUUAGAGAAACAAAAUCCUUAUUUCUUCCUUUUGGUAUUUUUAACGCUUUACAGUGUAAAUACCCUGCCUCCAUCUACUACCAAGUGCAUGGAGAGCCAUCUGAACCUUGAUUGGACCUUAGGAUGGAACGUUUCUUAUAUUUAGAAUCAAAUCCCUCUGUCCCUCUUUUUUAGGAGCUCCAUGUUGUUGGUGUGUCUGAGUGUAUAACAGAGCUCCACAGCAAUAAUAUUCCCAGUAAUGUGUCUGAGUGUAUAACAGAGCUCCACAGCAAUAAUACUCCCAGUAAUGUGUCUGAGUGUAUAACAGAGCUCCACAGCAAUAAUACUCCCAGUAAUGUGUCUUUAAAAUACAAUACAUUUGUUUAGAAAUCAGUCUGUGUAAAUAAGACCCAUUGUUCUUCUUCUUAGUUGUAUACAUUUUUAUUAGUAAGUCACCUAAAAUUUCUUAGAACAGUCGCCCCUGGCCACACCCCUAAAGUGAAAGGGUCCCUCAUCGUCCAUUAGAAAUGUUGGGACGUACGACGUCGUUUGCCUCGAGAAUAUUUGUAGCAUGGAAUGCUAAUCUCUGGCCGCAAUAAUUUGCUUUAUGUCUGCCUAAAUGCUAAAAGUGAAUUAAAUGACAGGUAUAGGUUGACCUAGAUGUGCAUCACACGCUCAGUGUUUUUAAUAAAACAUUUUUUUUGUAAGGUUUUAAUGUGCCUUAAAUUAAAUCUCAGCAUUGUUUCUGAAGCGACGCUUGGAGCUUGUUUAUAUAGUAUAUAUUUGAUUCCGCAGUUCACAAAAAGCACCUCUGUCCUCACAAUAAUUAGGAAUAUCGAUUUCAAAAGUGCUAGAAUUUUUCUUAAUGUAUAAUAAUACAUACAAUUUUUGAAGAACUCUUUUAGGUUCGUAAAAAAAACAAAAAACAUACGUGUCAUAAAACACAAUGGAAACCGCACGCGGCUUGACUUUUCAGACGUAAUUCUUGAAUUUUAGCAUUUUAAAACAGAGAAAAUUACAGACAUCUGGAAAACCGCUAAUCCAUGAAGCCAUUUUUACCUCAUUCAGAACUUGUGAUAAAAUGCCAAAUUGUGCCAUCUGUCCAGCUAAACCAGAGACCUCAAUCGCGCAGUGUUACAACACACUUCACAUGCACAAAGGUUGAAAUUAAAAUAGAAAUUGUAUUCACUCAGGGCUCAUUUUCAUUAUUGCCAUUAACUACCUAUGGUAAGCUGUUAUAAUGAACAGUUGAUAAAUAUCUAAAGCCAGAAAAUAGCAGCUGGUUUCCAACCGAUGAUCUGUCCCCGAUGAUACCGUCUGCACCUUAACACCAUAGCAAACUCAACUGGAUCACGUCUACUAAAGUGGGAUUUUGUACUAGGCUGGGUACACGUAUGUGGGAUUUUGUACUAAGCUGGGUACAUGUAUGUGGGAUUUUGUACUAAGCUGGGUACAUGUAUGUGGGAUUUUGUACUAAGCUGGGUACAUGUAUGUGGGAUUUUGUACUAGGCUGGGUACAUGUAUGUGGGAUAUUGUACUAGGCUGGGUACAUGUAUGUGGGAUUUUGUACUAAGCUGGGUACAUGUAUGUGGGAUUUUGUACUACGCUGGGUACAUGUAUGUGGGAUAUUGUACUAGGCUGGGUACACGUCUGUGGGAUAUUGUACUAGGCUGGGUACACGUAUGUGGGAUAUUGUACUAGGCUGGGUACACGUAUGUGGGAUAUUGUACUAGGCUGGGUACACGUAUGUGGGAUUUUGUACUAGGCUGGGUACACGUAUGUGGGAUUUUGUACUAAGCUGGGUACAUGUAUGUGGGAUAUUGUACUAAGCUUGGUACAUGUAUGUGGGAUAUUGUACUAGGCUGGGUACACGUCUGUGGGAUAUUGUACUAGGCUGGGUACACGUAUGUGGGAUAUUGUACUAGGCUGGGUACAUGUAUGUGGGAUAUUGUACUAGGCUGGGUACAUGUAUGUGGGAUUUUGUACUACGCUGGGUACCCGUCUGUGGGAUUUUGUACUAUGCUGGGUACACGUCUGUGGGAUUUUGUACUAGGCUGGGUACACGGCUGUGGGAUUUUGUACUAUGCUGGGUACAUGUAUGUGGGAUAUUGUACUAAGCUUGAUACAUGUAUGUGGGAUAUUGUACUAAGCUUGGUACAUGUAUGUGGGAUAUUGUACUAGGCUGGGUACACGUCUGUGGGAUUUUGUACUAGGCUGGGUACACGUAUGUGGGAUAUUGUACUAGGCUGGGUACACGUAUGUGGGAUAUUGUACUAGGCUGGGUACAUGUAUGUGGGAUAUUGUACAAGGCUGGGUACAUGUAUGUGGGAUAUUGUACAAGGCUGGGUACAUGUAUGUGGGAUAUUGUACUACGCCGGGUACACGUCUGUGGGAUUUUGUACUAGGCUGGGUACACGGCUGUGGGAUUUUGUACUACGCUGGGGACAUGCAUGUGGGAUAUUGUACUACGCUGGGGACAUGCAUGUGGGAUAUUGUACUAGGCUGGGUACAUGUAUGUGUGAUUUUGUGCUAUGCUGGGUACAUGUCUGUGUGAUGGCCCUCUUUUUAUAUGAAUUUUACGUUUGAAUGGCAUGCACAUUACUUACAUCUCACCCUCUGUAGUCUCUGGUGUCUGGCAUUUUGCUUUCUGAUGGCUGAUGCUCUUUGACUUUAAAUGUAAUGCCAUGUAUAUGAAGAUUUUUCCUAUAUGAUGUAUUAAGCAUCUGUAGUGGUUGUCUUGACCCUAGUGGAGUCAGGUUUUAAUUUCGGUGCGAUAUCGCAGCUGGUGGAAUCUAGCGCCUGGCCUCGAAAUGAGUCACAAGUAGCAGUUUUUUCUAAUUUCCGUAGCGCUGUACAUUGGGAUCACCUCCUAUUAUUCUCUACGGUAAUUACAAGUCACAACUGGUAAGUCUUUGUAUUAUUGAAAGAGCCGCUAUUUACCAACGUUACAGACAGCCUAUUUAUUAACGGCUUGUCGCUAAAAACUGACAACGCUGGAAAUGAGCCCUACAUUGGGAAUAGUGGAGACAUGAUAUGCAGAUUGUAUAUUUUAGGUAAAACUAGGAAAACUUGCAGGAAUUGGAGAAAUUCUACAACUCCGCUAUUCUGGUCUAAAUCUGUAAAUGCCUUGCCAAUUCCCCACGAGUCUCAGGUUAGCUGUUAAAGCCUGAUGGUAUUAGCAAGACAUAUUGAUGAAAUGAUGGUUUAUAAACUAAAAGGUGAAUUGUAAGAAACUGGAAACAAAUCGCAAAAUGUAGGUAAAAAUAAAAAUAACCAAUUUGGUUAUUCACCAGAAACACCAGUCCACCCACCAGCUCGGAUAUAGUGAAACAUACAUUAAACCAGAACCUGGAUGGGAGAAUCGAGCACAAUAAGACUAGCAGACAAAUCCAGUAAAUAAAAAGCAGUGCUAAAAAGAAGCAGAGGCUCAACAGCUUUUCUUAAACUACAAAUCUCAUGCCAUUGUUUAAAGGGACAUUACAGUUUAUUGAAUUUGUUCUGGUGAGUAGAAUCAUUCCCUUCAGGCUUUUUGCUGUAAACACUGUCUUUUCAGAGAAAAUGCAGUGUUUACAUUGCAGCCUAGUGAUAACUUCACUGGCCACUCCUCAGAUGGCUGUUAGAGGUGCUUCCUGGGGCAGUGCUGCAAAGAGUGACUGACAUUCAGUGUCUCCACCCUCUGCAUGGAGACACUGAACUUUCCUCAUAGAGAUGCAUUAAUUCAAUGUAUCGCUAUGAGAAAAUGCUGAUUGGCCAGGGCUGUGUUUGGCUUGUGUUGGCUCUGCCCCUGAUCUGCCUUCUUGACAUUCUCAGCCAAUCCAAUGCUUUCCUAUGGAAAAGCAUUGUGAUUGGCCGAGAUCAAAACUUCUAGUAAUGUAAGCCAAGGACGCAGAUUAGGGGCAGAGCCAGCAGCAGCAGACUUAAAUAAAAGUAAGAUUUUACUAUAUUUGGGGGAGAAAUUAAUGCAUGUUUGUGUUCCUUUAAAUGUUGUAACCGACUAAUACCUGUAAUACCAGGUAACGUAAACACCCAAUCUUCAUUGGCAUACUGCACCCCACUCAAAGUUACUCACUCUUCAUUACGACAUUUGUGAUCAUAAAUUCUACCACAUUUUCCUUAACACACAUCAAAUGGCAAACGGAACUGGAAUUCAGAGAUUAAGCAGCUCCUAGAUUUCAUAAACAGCGAAUGAAGUUAUAUAUGAUUAUAGAUAUUAAAGGAUCACUAUAGGGUCAGGAACACAAACAUGUAUUCCUGACCCUAUA
RNAcentral lists this long non-coding RNA (4775 nucleotides) under Pelobates cultripes (western spadefoot toad). Lineage: Eukaryota; Metazoa; Chordata; Amphibia; Anura; Pelobatidae. The record is from RNAcentral.